Molecule: long non-coding RNA, 273 nt
Filed under: Theobroma cacao (cacao)
Lineage: Eukaryota; Viridiplantae; Streptophyta; Magnoliopsida; Malvales; Malvaceae
Description: long non-coding RNA (TCAC_LNC002134)
Source: RNAcentral
UAUUGCUAUCAAUCUGUUCUUUGCUGACGGACCCAAAUCCUGAUGAUCCAUUGGUGCCGGAGAUUGCUCAUAUGUACAAGACAGACAGGAACAAGUACGAGACAACUGCAAGGAGCUGGACCCAGAAGUAUGCCAUGGGCUAAACGAGCUUUGGUGUGUGUGAGAGGGGAGGCCCUUGGUUCUUUUAUAUUUUGGCUUUUCAGUUCUAUGUAUGAAUGUUUGUUCCUAAAAUGGACCAAGGAGGUCCUCAUCAUGCCCUUAGUUAAGGAAGAA